UACAGAGGGUGCAAGCGUUAAUCGGAAUUACUGGGCGUAAAGCGUGCGUAGGCGGUUACGUAAGUCGGGUGUGAAAGCCCCGGGCUCAACCUGGGAAUUGCAUUCGAGACUGCGUAGCUAGGGUACGGUAGAGGGAAGCGGAAUUUCCGGUGUAGCGGUGAAAUGCGUAGAUAUCGGAAGGAACACCAGUGGCGAAAGCGGCUUCCUGGACCAGUACCGACGUUCAGGCACGAAAGCGUGGGGAGCAAACAGG
Molecule: ribosomal RNA, 253 nt
Filed under: uncultured bacterium
Lineage: Bacteria
Description: partial 16S ribosomal RNA
Rfam family: Bacterial small subunit ribosomal RNA
Source: RNAcentral